GAGAGAGUUUGUUUUAGAUCCCCCCUACUCAUUUGAUUUUGGGCUGGCCCUUUUGAUGUAGAUUUAGGUGGAGAUGCCCAAGUCCCCUGGCCUUUUGAGUCUCCUUUAGAUUUAGAUUUUGUGUGGAUGUAGGUGUUUAGUUCCCCUCUGACUUUUGUGUUUCACAGUUUCAGUUUGUAUAAAGGGUGUUCAUGUUGACUGUCCCAAUGAUGUAGUGUUCAGUAGUAGCUGCUGGAAUGAGCUGUUAUAUUUUAGUAGCUUAGAAAUUCAGAUUGUGUAAUAUGCAUUUUUAGCGCUAUGUAAUUAGUGUUCAGGUAGGUAGGUAGUUUUUUCACUGCAUUUUACAGUUUGUUGUAUGCUUCCUAGUUAUUUGUAGUUGAUAUCCUCGUAUAUUUGAUGGCCAGGUGUUUUUGCCCUUUAGUUUAGUGCCUUGUUUAUUUCUUUCAUUUGUUAUUUUCUUUUCCAUCAUGCUAGUGAGUUCAGAAGUUUGCAGUAUCUUUUAAAUUUGUAUCACCCUGGUGAGUUUCAUAAUUUUUCAAUAGUGCGAGUUCCAUAAGCAAGUAGCGCUAGUUCCAUUUGUUCCAAUAGUUUCCCAUAUUUAGUUUCUAUGCAUAAUUUUGCUUUACUAGGGUGUUUCUAGCUCACCCAGUUACUAUUGUGAAGUUUUUUUUCUUCACUCUUUUUCUUGUGUAUCACGUAAUCUGCUUAUAGUAUCAGUUUAAUGGGUAGACUACGGAAGGUCUCUCACCAGGACGUUCCCGUACUAUCAUCUUUUGGCACUGCAGAUUCUUUUGAUAAACCUUUUUGUGCCCAAUGACUUCGCGGAUGAUGAUUCGUAUUAGUUAUAACGGGAACUAUCUGUAGAUCAUGGCAACUCUGACAAAGCUCUAUCUGAGUUCUCUAUGAAUCAUAAAGGAAAAAUGCUUGAAAUGGAAGCUUUCAUGCGUCGGCAAAAGGAAUGUGGUUAGUUGCAUCAAAUUCUUUUCAGAUCAGAUCAGUCACAUCUUUUCUAGCAAUUUGCUUUAGUGUUACCUAUGUAUUUGGAUUGGUACUAUUUUAUAGUCAUCUUGCAUAGUAUUCUACCUUAGUUUUGGAUCUGUUUUCCUUUUUGUUUCAUGUAGAGAUAGAAGAGAUCUAGUAAUUUUCCUGUUUAUUCUACCUUUACUAGAUAUUUUUCUCUCGUGUUGUUGAUGGCUUGUCCACUAGGUAUAAGGAUGCUAUUCAAAGAUAUGGAAUGGAGUGUCUGCUUAAUUUUGUGAGAACUGAGGUCCCUGCUAGGCUUGUCAAGUGGCUUGUUACUAGGUUCGAUAUUUGAGCUUCUGAGUUCCAAAUUCCAAUUAAAAAAUAAUUUCAUUCCUAUCACCAAGUAUGAUACUCAUGAUAUUCUGGGCCAUUUCACUAGAAUUUGUAGUGUAAUUUCAGUGCAUUUGCACGGUAAUUAGAGGGAUUUUACUGUAUUAAAUUUAGGGAGAUUACUCUGUAAUUCCCGUGCAACUUUCAAUGUAACUACAGUGUAAGUCACAGGGCAAUUACAGUGUAAUUUCCUGUUUGUCUUUGUUGGGUUGCAUCGUUUUUAGAACCUUAUCAGUUGUAUGUCCAUGUUAUCUGGCUUCUUACUUUACUGCUACAUGCUGUCAGUGUAAAGGAAUUUCAAGUUCAAGGCUAGUGCAGUGUAAGUUUAAAGAAUUAUACUGUUAGUUUAGGUAAAUUUUUGUGCAUUUUUCAGUGUAAUUUAAGUGUAAGUUCCAGUGAAAUUAUAGUGUAAUUUCAAUGUAGUUAAUUUAGGACAUUUCAUUGUCAGUUCCACUAUAUUUCCCAGGACAUUUAACAUCGCAAUUUCAUGGUUAUUACAGCGUAAUUUCAAGGUUCUUGCAGUGUAUGUUCAGAGAAUUACAGUGUGCAUUUCAUUUGGGAACUUGUUGAGAACCAGGUCCGAUGCAAAAAAACGUUAUGCUCCCGUGUAAUUACAGUGCUUUUCAAUUGUAGUUACACUGGAAAUUUGAGUGUAAUUACAGUGUGGACUUCAGAGCAAUGAUACUAUAUAUUUAGUGAAUUUAAAGUAUCACUCUACCUUCGGGUUUGUCUUUUCCCUGCACAAAUUAUUGCUAUAUUGUUGAUUGAUUCUACCCUUGGUAAUAAAUUUUGAUGAGCACAAAAUUUUUUAGUACUCCCUCCGUCCCAUAAUGUAAGACGUUUUUUGACACUACACUAGAGUCAAAAAAUGUCUUACAUUAUGGGACGAAGGGAGUAUGUAAUUUCAGCAGUUUGGUAACCGUAAUUUUCAG
This is a long non-coding RNA of Triticum aestivum (bread wheat), 2285 nucleotides long. RefSeq lists it as uncharacterized. NCBI's taxonomy places the organism in Eukaryota, Viridiplantae, Streptophyta, Magnoliopsida, Poales, Poaceae. The transcript is spliced from 3 exons. The record is from RefSeq and is a predicted model, not a curated record.